CCUACGGGUGGCAGCAGUGGGGAAUAUUGCACAAUGGGGGAAACCCUGAUGCAGCAACGCCGCGUGAGUGAAGAAGUAUUUCGGUAUGUAAAGCUCUAUCAGCAGGGACGAGACGAGGCGGUACCUGACUAAGUAGCCCCCGCUAACUACGGUCCAGCAGCCGCGGUAAUACGUAGGGGGCAAGCGUUAUCCGGAUUUACUGGGGGGAAAGGGAGGGCAGACGGCUGUGCAAGUCUGGAGUGAAAGGCGGGGGCCCAACCCCCGGACUGCUCUUGAAACUGUAAAGCUUGAGUUCAGGAGAGGUCAGCGGAAUUCCUAGUGUAGCGGUGAAAUGCGUAGAUAUUAGGAGGAACACCAGUGGCGAAGGCGGCUUACUGGACUGCAACUGACGUUGAGGCGCGAAAGCGUGGGGAGCAAACAGGAUUAGAUACCCUAGUAGUC
Molecule: ribosomal RNA, 441 nt
Filed under: uncultured bacterium
Lineage: Bacteria
Description: partial 16S ribosomal RNA
Rfam family: Bacterial small subunit ribosomal RNA
Source: RNAcentral